Molecule: ribosomal RNA, 254 nt
Filed under: uncultured bacterium
Lineage: Bacteria
Description: partial 16S ribosomal RNA
Rfam family: Bacterial small subunit ribosomal RNA
Source: RNAcentral
UACGUAGGGUGCGAGCGUUGUCCGGAAUUACUGGGCGUAAAGAGCUCGUAGGUGGUUUGUCGCGUUGUCCGUGAAAACUCACAGCUCAACUGUGGGCGUGCGGGCGAUACGGGCAGACUGGAGUACUGCAGGGGAGACUGGAAUUCCUGGUGUAGCGGUGGAAUGCGCAGAUAUCAGGAGGAACACCGGCGGCGAAGGCGGGUCUCUGGGCAGUAACUGACGCUGGGGAGCGAAAGCGUGGGGAGCGACGAGGA